Malus domestica (apple) is the source of this 1644-nucleotide long non-coding RNA. RefSeq lists it as uncharacterized. The record is from RefSeq and is a predicted model, not a curated record. NCBI's taxonomy places the organism in Eukaryota, Viridiplantae, Streptophyta, Magnoliopsida, Rosales, Rosaceae.
GUGUAAUUUGACAGGCCAAGUUCUUCCACCCGAAACACGAAGAAUCACAUUAUCAUGAGUCCUGUUUAGAAGAUGUUCCCGGGCAAACUUAGCUUCCAAAUUCUGAAAUAGAAAGAGAAGCAGAAGUUGUACAUGAUCUGUCUCUCUAGAAAGCUUACCAAAGUAUUUGCCUGGAUAUACGAGGGACGCAUAACAACCAUGCAACAAGGGUAUUCAGAUUUGAAAGCCCUUGCUCUCUGAAGAGCUCUAUUUGUUCCGCUUUCUGCAUGGUGGAGAAUCGUCCAAGAUUUCAACACAACCAUCAUCUUCAUCAGUUUCUUCAGUUUCGGACAUUGUUUUUUCACCAUCAACGUCUGCAAGCACCCGCAAAAGAUUAAGGUGACAGGCCAAGUUCUUCCAUCCGAAACACGAAGGAUUACUUGAUGAUAAUUCCACUUAAGAAAGUGUUCCUUGGUAAACUUGGCUCCCAAAUACUGAAAAGAAAGAGAAUCAGGUAAUUUGGAGAGGAUUUGCGUUGUAAUUUGUUUGAGCUUAAUUUUCAGUUUGAAAACUAACACACACAUAUAUGUAGACAUAAAAUUAGCAGAACUUGUACAUUAUGUCUCUCUAUAAAAAGCUUACCACAUAAUGUGCAUGGAUAUACGAGGGACUCAUAACAACUGUGCAAGAAGGGUAUUCAGAUUUGAAAGCCUUUGCUCUCUGAAGGGCUCUAUUUGUACCAUGUGCCGUAACUGGGUUCAUCUUCCUAAGAACUUGAAGAGUUCUUCGGUUCAUUAUUUUUUUAGUCAAAGACGAGCCACCAAAUUUCUUUAUGCGGUUUUCUGCUGUGCUAACUGAACAUGUUCUGUUUUUCUUGUGAGGCUGUGGUGCUAUUGGUGAUUUCUUCUUUGUUUUCGGGCAUGUUGGAAAAUCGUCCAAGAUUUCAAUGGAAUCAUCAUCUUCAUCAGUUUCUUCCAUUUGGGACAUUGUUUGUUCCCCGUCAACAUCUGCGAGCACAUCACAAAAGAUGAACGUGAUGGAUUGUUAAUCUCUAUGGCACUUCCAUCAAUUAAUCAGUUCAGAAAUUAAAAGACAACGUACCUGGUGGUGAGAAUACCAAGUUCCCCCAUCCAAAACCCGAAGGGUAAUGGCACCAGGAUGCUUACCGAGACGUCUCAUGUGGAUACACAAUUUUGAAGGCAGCCACUGAAAAUAAUCAAAUGAAGGAAAAGACGAUAAGCAAACAAAUUUGACGGUCCAUGAUGGUUGUCUAUAGAGAACUUACCACAGAAUAUCCAUUGAUAUAAGUGCGCUUCAUGGGAACUAUGAAAGAAGGGUUGUCAGAUUUGAAAGCUGUAGCUCUCCGAAGAGCUACAGCAGCUUUUCCUCUUGCAUUCGACGCAUGCAUCCUCCCAAGAACUGUUUGAGCUCGUUUUGGAGUGCUGGACGUGCCUUCACCGUGUCUUUUGGAUGCAAACUCAGCUUUGCAUGUCAAAGAACACAGUAGGAUAUUAAAAGUUAGAACAGAAUGGCAGAAAGCACAAUAAGGUAAAAAAUCGGAAGCUAAACAUAUGUUGCGUAUUAAUGUUUCAAUUUUUAUUUCUGAUUUUUAUUGACUUCUUAAACAUCAUUUCGUAAUGUAAUCAGAGUAUUUUUUUGGUUUCU